GGAAAUUUCUGGGACACAGAACCUAUUGAAACAUCUGGGUGAAUAUUGUCCCCUUCCUCCCUCACCAUUCCCUGUGAUGUGCACUCAGUCAAAGAGGAUGACUGGAGAACUGGUCUUUGGUCAUGGGUAUUUGAGUAGCUGCGCUCCCCUGCUAGAACUUCCAAACAAGCUCUUGGGCAGGGCGGUACACAUCUGUAUUUCCAGCUUUUGGUAAGCAGGGGCAGUAGGGUCAUGAAUGGAAGGCCAGCCAGUCCU
This is an unclassified non-coding RNA of Cricetulus griseus (Chinese hamster), 255 nucleotides long. Its record names the gene 7SK. It matches the Rfam family "7SK RNA". Rfam says of the family: 7SK was discovered as an abundant small nuclear RNA in the mid-70s but a possible function has only recently been suggested. Two independent studies have found that 7SK RNA binds the CDK9/cyclin T complex (known as elongation factor P-TEFb). P-TEFb activates transcription by phosphorylating the C-terminal domain of RNA polymerase II. NCBI's taxonomy places the organism in Eukaryota, Metazoa, Chordata, Mammalia, Rodentia, Cricetidae. The record is from Ensembl.